CAUACACCGCCAAAGGGGUUAACCCCAGCUUGGAAGGUCAUGGCAGCUAUUAGGGUGGCAACUACCAAGAGAGCGUUGUGGGUGUCGGCUCUAUUCUUCUCCUUAUCCUUCUUUUUGAACUUUCCUUGUACUGAAAAUAACGACACUAGUCCCUAAAAGUAAUCCCAACCAUUGUUUUCUCUUUGGUUAUGACCUACAAACAGAAUUCAAGAAUUGAUGAAGCUCUAUGGGGAUUGAAGAAAAAAAAGGUAGUAGAUGGAUUUCUCCAGAAAAGCUUUGGGUUUGGGUGAGUCUUGAUUCAGCUUUUAUAGCAAGCAAUUUACCAUAACAGUUGGCAACAAUUUCAAUCUUGUGACAAACGUGAAGUCAGAAGCGGAGGGAGGUAGGGCCCCAGGGGCGGCCUAAUAAGUUCAAAGGUCUAAAGUAAAAUAUUCAAAUGAGGCUUUUUUUAUUGAAAUUAAAAAAAUUAUUAAAAUUUUAUCCUUCUAACUUUUGGAGAUGUAAAAUUUUUAAUUAAACUUUUAUAAUCAAGUUAUUCUAAUAUAUCUUUUUCAAUUGAUAAUAUAGUCAAUCCAAUCUUUCUUGAGACAUUGUUGAUCUUAAAUAAGAUUUUAUUAAUUUUAGUUUUGAAAAAUUUCUCCUGAAGCAUCAUUUACUCGAAUUAUUAACAUUAUUUUAAAAAUAUUGAACUAUUAUAAUUAUCUUAUAUUUUUUAAAUGGCUAAUAUAAAAUCAACAAUCAAAAUUUUUAAUUCAAAUAAAUCAACUAUAACAUAAAAUAAAAUAAUAUAACAAUAUAAUAUAAAUCUAAAUUAAAGUAAAAAAAUCUGUAAAUAUUAGAACAAUAGUACCUAAUUAUUGAAUGCUUAUUCCAAAUCGUAAAUGAGUUUCACAACUUUAUGAAGAUAAUAAAAGAACGGACUUCUAGUAUAUUUUUUGGAGAAAAAUUGAAGUUAAAGGAAGAAAGAACAAAUGAGAAAGGAAGAAAGAACAAAUGAGAAAGGAAGAUUUUAAAAAUAGAUAUUAUACAUUGAAAAAAAUAAUUAGUUUUAUAUAUAGAAAAAAAAUAACUGUUGGAAAUCAUUAAAUAUAUUGAUUGGAAAUAACGGAAAUAAGUGCAUGUUUGGCCUAAAUUUUUUUUAGCUUAUCUACCUCUAAAAGUAAAAGUCAGGCCAAACAUGAUUUUUUGAUAAGCUCUUAAAAAAAUAAUUUUUUUUAAAAAUAAAAUUUUUAAAAAAAGACCUUAAAAAAAAGCUCCAAUGAGGAGCUUUUUCUUCUUUUCUUUUAAAAAUAUAAGAGAAUUUUUAUUUUUGUUCCAAAAAUAUCCUCAUUUAUUAAAAAUAAUUACAAUAUUAUCCUCUAAAAAAAAGAAAUACAUUCUAUGAUAAUUUUAACAAAAAUUAUAACUUAUAAAAGGAAAUUUACUAAACAACUUUAGCUUAAUUUUAAAAACUAUUAUUUUUCAUAAGAGCUUCAUAAUAACUUUUAAGUUUGAAAAAAGCCAAGCUAAACAGACUCUAAAUAAGAAAAAAUAUAGCUGUUGGAAAUGAUUAAAUGCAUGUAACUGUUAGUUUAUUGAAAAUAAAAGAAUAUAGUUGAGAAUUAAUAAUAUUCUAAAAAUAAAAAAAUAAUAGAAAAUUAAGAUUUAUUAAGCAUAUAAUUAAAAAAAUAAAAGAACAAAUAAUUUGAUGAAUUAUUUUUUAUUUUUUUAUUUUUUUAUUUAAUUAAUUAUGUUAUAAUUAUUAUAAAAUUAUAAUUUGUUUUUAAAAUUGAAGCCUCUCCAAAUUGAGGCCUAAAGCCCUUGCUUGGGUGGCUUCACCCUAGGGCAGACCCUGUAGGGCCCCCGUGCCCCCCUACCCCCUUUCUAAAUUUAAAAAAUUUAUAAAUAUUUUAAAAAUUUUAAACGCUUAUAUUAAUUUUUGAAAUAAGCAAUUUCUUAAAAAUAUAAAUACUAUUAACAGAAAUUAAAAAAAGAUUACCAUUUUAUUUUUUGUUAAUUUAAAAAAUUAUUAUUAUAUUCUAAAAAUUAAAUAAAAGAAAGGAUAAAAGCAUCGAUCGAGGCUCCCUAAGGGAGAAUCAAGGUCCCUAAGGGAGCUUCGGUGCUCCCCAUCUUGAGAGGUUUUUUUUUUUUAAUUAAUAAAAAAAUAAUAAAAUUAUAUAAAGUAAUUUUUAAAAUUAAUUAAGAGUAAAAUUUUCUUUUUACUCUUAUUACGUCAGCAAGUUGACGAAAAUACUAACGGUUAACUAACGGUUGGACUUAUGUGUCAAAUAGAAAAUAUUUUUUUGCUGAGUGUCCAUUUUGAAAACUAAUAGAUUUUCAUGUAAUUUCGAUUAAAACUUAGGUGGAUAAAGAUAUUUUAUCUAAUAUUUUUUAUUUUGUUUUAAAUAUUUAUAAUUUUAAAUUUAAAAAAUUUAAAAAUACUAGCAAUGACUCAAAGCAUCGAAGAAAGCAAAAAAGAAUUUUAUUCAUUGUGCACUGAAAUUAGGGUUAUCAAUAGAUAGGAUAACUGCUAAUUUUGAGAUACUUGAAUCUCAAUUUUAUAAGAAAUAAAGUAUUUGAAUCUUAUUAAUUACCCAAGUAUUUUUAAAAAUUACUACCUUAACCCUAACACUAAUACAUCACACUUAUCUUAUAAAUAUCCUAAGGGAUUUUUUUUAAACCCUUAUAAAUAACGUGUUUUUGUAAAUAACCGCCAGGAUACUUUUAACUAUUUUUAGCCAUCAAAAAAGAUUUUGGGAUAAAAAUGCCCUUAAUGAGCCGUCUUCGUUAGCGUACACUCUCAAACAGGCGAAAAAUGGGAGAAAAAAAAAUAAAUAUGCAAAGAUUGGUUGUGCAAAAUACCCAAAUUUUGUUUUCGAAGGUUGUGCAAAACAAAAUAAUGUUGCAUGAGAUGGGUUUUCAAAAAUUAGGGACAUGGUAUUCAGAUAAUAGGAGAAGAGAGAUAUUAAAUCGAACGAGGAACAGGUCGUCAUGAAUGGAAAGCUUGGCUAAUGAUGUGAAACCAGAAAUCCUUGAUACGGUGGUGAAUUGAAAGGAGAAAGAUGUGAAUCCAAAGCAGGAAAUGGCCCCGCUAUAGCAGGCCAUAUGUUAGAUGGUUAUCGCAGGGCAGGGUUUAGAGUUUGUGAAACGUCAUGUUGAGAAUGUGUGAGACGGCACCGCUCAGAGUUGGUGAGACGCCAUGGAGGGAAUCUGUAAGACGCCAAAGUUAAGAGUUGGUGACACGCCAUGGUGGGAAUGUGUGACACGGCAACGUUGAGAGUUGGUGAGACGCCAUGGAGGGAAUCUGUGACACGCCAAAUUAAGAGUUGGUGACACGACACGGAGGGAAUCUGUGACACGCCAGCGUUCAGGGUUGGUGAGACUCCAUGGAUUGAAUCUGUUAGACGUUAGAGUUCAGAGUUGGUGACACGCCAUGGUUUGAAAUAGAGAGAGAAAAAAAAACAGACAGUUAACGUGGUAAUCCUUUGGACUUUCACUGUAUCAAUUUCCCUUUUUCAGAAUAAAGAAUGUCAUUUUUCAUUUUAAAUAGUUAUUAUUUAGAAUUCGUAACGUUUGUGUGAUUCAUUUCUCAUUCCCACCGGUACCGAAGUGUUCGAGAAGGCUCUUUGCAAGCGGAACGAAACCACAGCACCAGCAAAAAUGUCGACCAUGAAUGAAGAGGUUAGUGGGUCUCAAAUUCGUAAUAUUCCUGUGUUUGUUAAUUUUUUGGUUUUUUUCUGGGUCUGUUUGAUAUGUUUGAGUUUUUGGUUUUGUUUUGCAAAUGUUUAGACUGUGUUUUCUUACUGGUUUGAUGGUUGUUGUGGUUAAGCUGCAGUGGUUUUAGCGGUUUUGGGUGUUUACCGUGUGACGCCAUUGUUAUUAUAGUUAGUUAUUAGCGUGUGACAGCAUUUUACUUGAUAUGCAUAGUGUGUGACAGCAUUUUACUUGAUAUGCAUGUCGUGUCACAAAAUUUAACUUAUUAUGCAUGGCGUUUGACAGUAUUUUACUUGAUAUGCAUGUCGUGUCAUAGAAUUUUACUUGAUAUGCAUCUCGUGUCAUAGAAUUUUACUUGUUAUGCAUGACGUUUGACAACAUUUUACUUGUUAUGCAUGGCGUUUGACAGCAUUUUACUUGAUAUACAUGACGUGUCAUAACCUUUAACUUGAUAUGCAUGGCAUGUCACAACGUUUAACUUGUUAUGCAUGGCGUAUCAUAACAUUUUACUCGUUAUACAUGGCGUGUCACAACAUUUUGAUUGCAAUGCAUGGCGUGUCACAACAUUUAUUCUUUAUUUAUGUCUUCAGUGUACCUUGUUGCACAUGACUGCUUAACUCACUGGUGUAUGUGUGCCAUAUUUUACAGAUCCAGCACAGACAGUAUGAGGAUCUUGACAGUUUGCUGAUCGUGUCGAAGGAGAAGUGGGCGUUCAAUGUCUCAAUUAUUACUCACUGUAAGUGGUCGCAGCUGCAUUACAUCAUAAAGACUCUCUAACAAAAUGGGGAGUAUGAUCUAGUUAAGCGUACCUGCUUCGGAAUGCUCUUGGACAUCUAUCCACAGGGGUACUUUUACGUCGGUCUCUUGCACAGCAUCAUGAUUCGUCGGAUCAUUGAGAGGCAGUCAAUGGACCACGAGCUAUGGUUUGCCAUUGGCAAGAGCAAGGCGCAGCUAUCAAAGUAAGAGUUCUGCCUCAUCACUGGGCUGAAGUUUGGUCCAAUGCCUGAUGUGUCAGACGACCGUACAAGGUAGUUACGGAUGGAAUUCAUGCAAGAUACUAGAACGGGAAAGGCAGCGUUAAGCUGCAGGCUUUGCUUGAUACCUUUCGCGAGGGCAACUUUCAGCGACCAAGAUGGCACUCAUCUUGAUCGCGAAUAACAUUUUAUUUGGUAAAGACUAACGUAGAUGGGUGACGCCUUGGUUGCUGUCAUUGGUGGAUGACAUCGACGCUUGGAAUGUCUUCCUAUGGGGGCACUAUGUUUGGAAGCUGACCUUGGACUACCUUUUGAAGGGGUUCGAAGUUCCUGACUUGAGCGUGCUAAAGGAAACUCGGUUACACUACAACAUUUACGGAUUCGCAUGGGUGAUAUAGGUACUAAAACAUAACAUUUUUCAGUUUCUUUUUGGACAAAAAAUUUAUGGGUGCAGUCGUUUAUAAUUGACGGUCUGAUAAGGGUUACAUUUGACAUGCGGUUCUGGGCAAUGGAGGCAAUUUCGGCCCUCCGAAAAAUAGUUACCCCCUCUGGUUCGAAGGACAACGUCCACCCAUGAAUGUGCAGAUGAGAUUGCAAUCAGAAGCCAAAAGACUUCUACAAGACAAUUCAGAAGUUAGAGUCAUCUGACAAAGUGAGUAAACAGCUGCUAAUUUUUGCGUUAUAUUUGUAAAAUAAUUUUCCCUAUUCGAUAAUGACAACAUUCUAUUUGUUUAUUUAUAGUUGUGGGCACUGGAGACUUUGGAACCCACCACAGAUAAGGCCCUCUGGGAGUAUUUUGAGGACCUUGAUGUCCCGUUAUCGGAGGGUAAUGAGUACGUGCCAAUAGGGCAUAUGGAGGAUCGGUCAGAUUGGGGCUUAGGUGCGAGGCAAAAAAAGAGAAGAUUGAAGGAGAAAAGAGCCUCUGGUGGCACGAAGCGGAUGCGCACAGUCGCUGCUUUAGUUGAUGAGUUGAUGGAUGAAGGGGACGACCAUGGUCAAGGCAAUGAACAGCUGGUAAAGACAAUUGUAACAGUUUUGUUUCUCCAAUUCCAUUUGUGAUUAUCGAAUAACAUUUCUAUGUUUGCAGCUGGACCAUGGGCCGGUAACUCCAGAACCACCCACCGGUCCUCCUCAGAUGCAGAGUGGAAACUACCCGUCGAUAAGAUCGAUUCUAACAGUUUGUAUUCUACAUUCCCACAUAUGUUUAUAGAGUAACACAGUAAUUUAUGUAAUUACAGUUUACGAAAACGAGGACAGGUCCUCAAGCACCAAUCAGUCCAGCCCAAUCGCAGACAGCUAACGAGCAGGCGGUAAGGAUAUUAAAGUUGUAACGGUUAAUGUUCAACAAUUCCAAACAUGAUUAUUGAAUAACACAGUUAUAUAUGUAAUUGCAGUUUACGGAAGCGAUGACAGGUCCUGAAGCACCGAUCAGUCCGGCUCCACCGCAAACUACUAAUGAACCGACGGUAAAGAUAUUAAAGUUGUAACAGUUAAUGUUCAACAAUUUCAUACAUGAUUAUUGAAUAACACAGUUAAAUAUGUAAUUACAGUAUGCGAAAGUGACGACAGGUCUUGAAGCACCGAUCGGUCCGACUCCACCGCAGAUUGCUAUUCAUGGUGUGUCACAACGUUUGAUUUUGAUAUGCAUGGCGUGUCAAAACAUUUUGCUUAUUAUCCUUGGCGUGUCACCAAGUUUAUCUUGUUAUGCAUGGCGUGUCAGAACAUUUUGCUUGUUAUCCUUGGCGUGUCACCAAGUUUAUCUUGUUAUGCAUGGCGUGUCAGAACAUUUUGCUUGUUAUCCUUGGCGUGUCACCAAGUUUAUCUUGUUAUGCAUGGCGUGUCACAACAUUUUAAUUGUUUUGCAUGACGUGUCACGACAUUUUCCUCGUUAUCCUUGGCGUGUCACCAAGUUUAUCUUGUUAUGCAUGACGUGUUACAACCUUUUAUAAUUUAUGGGUUGUGGUAUUUUAUGAGCUCCCUAAUGAUUUUUUCAAUUUUGUAGGGCGAUCCAUCUCACAGUGCUGGUCUGGAGCACGAUGAUGCUGAUAAUGGAUAGUAUCAUGAACCUGGUGUUGACAUUGACAAUGACGUUCUUGGUGCUGAUGGAGAGCACGUAACUCAUGUAGAUGACGUUGUCGAAGAAGCUGUGGUAGUGGAUGUCACCCUUCAGUCAGAUGAUGUUGAAAGAGAGCAUCUUCCUCCGGCCGAAGCAUUCGUCAACACAGCAGCAGGAGCUAUGGUUUUUUAUCGUGAGAGCACUCUUGAUGUAGUUGAGAUACGGUCGUCAUCACCAAAGUCAUCUGCUGUCCAUCAUGGUGCAACAGAAAUUUCAGACCCAACUAAGCGGCAUGACUGAAAAUGGCGAGCAAAUACAUGGCAAACCCAUUCGUCGACCCCUUAGUGACCCGUCUAGAUGUGAGGGAUAAAAUCGUAGAAGACUACGAAGCUUUCAAGAAAGAGGAGUCUGCGACGUAAGCUCGUAAAUAAAAUUGCAAAUAUUAUUUUUUAAUGAAACAGUUAUCCACCAAGACUUAUGAAAUUAAUUAUGUUACAUAUGCAGGCGUAAUGUCGGCAUCUUAGGGGAUCAAUGGGCUGACUUUUUCAUAACCUUAGAGGAUCCCAAUGAGGAAAUGACAAGUGAACAUAUCUACGCAUGCCUCAGCCUACUCUGCAAGCGAAUGACAGGGCCGAAGUCAAAGCUAUACAUUACCCGUGCAUGCAUGGUUGACACGAUAUUCUUCGUAAGUUUAUUUGAAAAUUGUUAAAUUCUACAAAUACUAAGUUUUUGAUUGCAUGAAGUGUAAGCUAAUGUUUACAUCUUUCACAGGACACCAUUCGUAUGCUACACACCGAAUUUCCAACAGAAGAUGCCCGAGCCAAAAUGCAAAUUCCAGAUGAGUUGCGGGGCUAUGUGGAGGGUGAAAGGCCAACGUACGCCAAAAAAUGGGAAGAUGUUGAUUUCAUUCUCGCGCCUUGCAACGUUGGUGGGCAUUGGGUGGUUGCGAAGAUCGACUUGGUGCGGUGGACGAUCAAGGUCGUGGACUCAACAAUAACUUCAGAUGCUAAGGAUAACGGAGUUCAUGCGGGUCAGAUGACACCCUUGACGACAAUGAUGUCAUUCAUUUGACACUCAGCCAGUUAUUUCAACAACAUACGUCAGAAAAGAUGGGAUUUGACGCUGAUGCUAUUAGAUAUUCAUUUGCCAAAAGCUAAAGUGCAUCGACAGAAUGAUAGUGUCAGCUGCGAUAUGUUCAUGAUAGGGUACAUCGAGCAUAUUUUGCAAUAAAAAAAGAUCGAAAUUAAGUAGAAUAUGAUUGCAAAAAUGCGUCGGCAAUAUGCUCUGAAAAUUUUUUUCAACAGUUGUGAGAGCAAACCCUGAACAUAUAGGCCCUUGUCUGUACAAUUUUUUUGGUACACAUAAAUUUUUUUAUACAAUUCAUUUUAUACACAUUUUUUGUAUACACAAUUUAUUGUAUACAAUUCAUUGUAAACAAAUAUAAUCCUUUAUGUAUACACAAUAUACUUUGUACAAUUAUUUGAUACACAAUUAAUUUUUUUGCCUAUACACAAUUAAUUUGAUACCAAGAAUUUUUUUCCUUUUCUAUAUACAAUAUAUUUAAUUUCAUACACAGUCGAAAAAAGUCAACGUGUGACGCCUUAAACAUGAUACCAGUCAGCGUGUCCCAACAUACAUCUACUUGCACUCAGUGUGUCACCCCAAAUUUCUGCAAUAAGUCAGCGUGUGACGUCGCUAAUCCACUAACACUCGGCAUGUCAACCGAGUAAUCUGCUUCCACUCAGUGUGUCAGAACAAUUGGGCCAUGGCGUGUUAUGCCAUAAAUCUCCAGAUACUCAACGUGUGACACCAUUAAUCUGCUUUUAGUCGACGUGUCAUAAGAAUUGGGCCGUCGCGUGUCACCCCAGUUUGGCAUUAAUUAAUUUUCAGGUUCGUCGUAUUUCUCUUCCAAGCACACCGGAUGCACUAACCCAACAUUACAUUGAUUAACAUUGAAUAUAUAGAUUUUUCCAUCCAUCUAAUUACUUCUAGCAUGAAAUUGUUCUGUAUCCAUCCUCCUUUUUUUUUCCAAUUAUUUUCAGGCCAAAAUUCUAUCCUGCCAUUAUAAAAUCGUACGUCUAAAUUUACACACCAGAACUUGUUAUGCAUGACGGGUCAGAACAAUUUAAUUGUUAUGCAUGGCGUGUUAUAACAUUUAACUUGUUAUGCAUGGCAUGUCACAACCUUUUUACUUGUUAUGCAUGGCGUGUCAGAACAUGUUGUUCAUUAUCCUUGGCGUGUCACUAAGUUUAUCUUGUUAUGCAUGGCGUGUCACAACCUUUUACUUGUUAUGCAUGGUGUGUCAAAACAUUUUGCUCGUUAUCCUUGACGUGUCACCAAGUUUAUCUUGUUAUGCAUGGCAUGUCACAACAUUUUACUUGUUAUGCAUGGCGUGUCAUUUCAUUUUUCUUGUUAUAAAUGGCGUAUUACAAUAUUUUAUUUGAUAUGCACGAUGUGUCACAACAUUUUACUUGUUAUGCAUGACGUGUCUCACAUUUAUUCCUUAUUUAUUUCUUCUAUAUACCUUGUUGCACAUUAUGGCUUAACUCACUGGUGCAUCUGUACCAUGUUUUGUAGAUCCAACGCAUAUAAUAUGAAGAUUUUGACAUUUUGUCUGCUCGGUCAUUCUAUGAGGCCCUUUUAGUUACGGACUUUGUUGCCAAACAUUUCAGGCAGAUAAGCAAAUACAUGGCUCCUGUCUGAUGGAGAUUGUAAUCGGAAACAUUUUUACGAACAAUGUAAGAAUGUACUUUAACACGAUCUUGAUCAGACAGAGGCCUUGACAUGCUUAUCUGCCUGAAAUGUUUGGCAACAAAGUCCGUAACUAAAAGUGCAUCAUAAAAUGAUCAAGCAAACAAAUCCGUAAAGCAAAACGAAUUCAAUUACAAUUUUCAGACACAUUUAGUUAGGCGGUCAAGCUGUCUUCAUUCACAACACACCUUAUAUUUUCAGAUAUUGUCCUUCAUAUUGGACAGUUGUUGCGUGAGUGACCAGUUUGUCUACAACUUGUACAUGUUUUGGGUCGGUGUAGUCGUGGAGUCGCUGAUUGACUUAGAGAUGGUGCUAGAUUUGUGGAUGGAACUGCAAAUGGGUAUGGGUAAUUUUGUCUGUUAUGCCCGUACCUCUUGUAUUGUGAACAUCUUCGUGCUCGACUACCUUCACUAGCUGAUGAAAUCCUUCUCCUCCUAGGUCUUCCUGUUUGACCUCGCCAAGGUGGGGGCAAGACUACAAUUUGUUUCACAUGAGGGGGGAUGUCCCACUCACUAGGAUGCCCUACCGACCUAAUGGAUCCUGAAUAACCCUUCACGAAAACGGUUGUCUUGUAGUAGCCAGCGCAUAAUUCAAUGGCUUCAUGAUUGUAUUUACUGAAAAACAUUAACAACUCAAUCUUCAAGCACAAUGUAAAUGCUAUGUCAAUUACGGUUCAAAUAAGAAAUAAAGAUAUUCUGACCUUAUUGCUGCAAUGGCAUGGCUGCAUGGUAGUAAAUCUGUUUGGAACUCACAACAUGAACACGUCUUCCUAGACAGGUUUACAAGUCCGUCCAUCUUCCCGUCUUUAACUUCGAACUCCACUCUAUUGAUAGGCUUAACUAAAAAGCGAUGUGCAUCAUUGAACCUUUUACUCAACUGAUUGGCAACCCAAGGGCUGAGGGGCGUGGUCACCUUGAUGGCCUCCUCAUACCAUUCAUGGAACCAACGCUAGAAUAUGUCUCUGAUGAACUCGAUCAAAAUAGUGAUUGGCAUUUGUCUUGCAUGCUUCAAGCAUGAGUUAACAUAUUCCGCAAUGUUGGAUGUCAUCAUUUGGUAUCGUCUUGCCGGUGAAAAUGCACGUGCCCAUUUCUCAUGCCCUAUUCUUAUAAGGUCCGCGUGGGCUCCCAAGUGAAUCUGCUGUAUCUAGUUCAUAUGCUUGUUGAAAUCGGCCACCUUAUAGCAAUCUCGAGCAAGGGUGAAAAGCAUACAAACAUCGUCGCUCUUGAACUUGUUUUUAAAGUUUUUUUUCAAGUGGUAAUCGCAUAAACCAUGGUGCGCUUCUGGGAAUGCAUUUUGGAUUGUUUUCUUAAUGCCGAGAUGCUGAUCAGAAAUGAACAUAGUGUUUUCAAGACAACCAACCGCAUCACGCAGCUUUCUAAGAAACCACGUCCACGAGUCUUCGUCCUCAAUAUGGCCGAUGCCAAACGCAAUUGGAUAUACGCACUCGUUCGCAUCUUUGCAUACAGCGACAAACAGAACACCUUUGAACCUACCUUUCAGAUGUGUCGCAUCAAUUGCAAUCGUAGGACGCAUUACAUCCCUAAACCCCCGAAUACAAGCCUCGUAUGACCAUAAACAAUAUUUGAAUCUUUUUUCCUCAUCAGUAGCCACUGCAGUCACUAUGCCAGGAUUUUUUUGUUCUACCAUAUAAAAAUACGAUGGUAGUAGCUGAAAUGACUCCUCCGAUGGAUCGAAAACAAGCCUCUCCGCAUACUCUUUCACUUGCCAAGCCUUACCAUACAAGCAUUCCAAUCCCCACUGAACCCUCAUAUCACAAAUUAUGUCUUUAGGUCUCAAUGCUACUCCAUUAGCCCGAAUCUUGUGUGACAUAAGUUCACUAAUCAUCUUCGCACUCGUAGUUGGAAACCACCCUUGCAAACCAUCAACGGUACAGGUGUGUACUUUGUGGAAUUUUUGAACUUUCAAAUAUUCUCCUCUAUCAAGUAACUUCGUUGCACGAACACUGAACUUGCAUGCCUUAUCCUUGCAACCAACCUCAUAACGAGCUUUACAUGACCUUUUUACUCUUAUCGCAAACUUCUCUUUUAUAGCCAACAUGUUCAAAGCUCAUUUCAACUCAGUCUUUGACGAAAACAUUCUUCCUUUGUAUAAGCGAUCUUCGGCACAUGUCGACUCCUCAGUGGUAAUUGUUUGGAAGGAGAACCUUUCUGCACCUGCAAUUACCCACGUACGAGAUAUCCUUGCAUUUCCCCUUUCCUGAUCACUGUCAUCGAGCAAUGUAUCAAGGGAAUGAAUCUCGUUCUCACCAGCAAUAGGGUUAUUGUAUAUGGGGUCAUCACACUGAACAUCUCAUACAUCAACACCUCCAACAGGUUUCGUUUCACCUUCAACAUUAUUACAAAUUGGAAUGUCACUGUCAUAAAGGCAGUCAUCGUCUGAACUGUCAUCUUGUGAUUGUUCAAGCCCAUCAUCUGAAAUGUGAUCAAAUCUAUCUUCACCGGUAGCGAACAAAUCCUCAUUUCCCUCAUCAAAUGCAGUAUUAUACUCCAGCGUCGUAAUGUCACCCUCCAACCUCACAUUGUUGUCCUCAACUGUCGUAUUCUCAUUUGACAAUGGCAUUACACAUUUUACAGUUUCACCCGAUCGUUGCAUUUUUUCAAGAGAAGCAAGAAAUUGGUUUGAUGCACAUCCUAAUCGAAAUUGUGCAGCCAACUAUUUUGUGAAUGUCGUCUGUCUACUGGGGCUGCACAAACUCUUGUGCGUACCUCAAUUGCCAUUGUUGUGGGUUACGGACUGAAUGUUGUGGUAUACGUGAAGCAUUGUAAAUCUCAUUUUGAUUGAGCUGAUUACCAUGUUGUCCAACUUCUCCAUGUGACAAGACAUUUGUUUGGCGUCCCUUAAUGCUGACAUACACAACCGAAACAUUUCUUUGUUCUAGCAAAAUUAAUGCAACAUCCUCAUCGUCCUUGAUAAUUGGCCGUAAUAGCUCUCCGGGUGUACUGAUCAAUGCAUGUAACUCAAUCUCGUCAAUUUUUGAGUUUACCCUAACAACAUCUUCAACCAGCUUCAUCAAGCCCACAAACGACAAAUCACUCCUAACCCCCCGCAUUCGUGACUCACCACCCUUCUAAAUGCCAUCCACCCACUAACCACCGUGUUUUAUCACAAGUCGCACAAUUGAAACCCCACUGAAUUUAAAAAAAAAUUGUCAAUCAUUUUACACAAUACAUGUCGUGAUAAAAAAUUUAUCAGUCGUGUUGUUACACGCCAUGCAAAUAACGUAAAAUGUUGUAACACGCCAUGCAUAUCAAGUCAAAUGUCGUGACACGCCAUGAAUCAGUAUCGUUACAUGCCAUGCAUCACUGUUGUGACACUACAAUCACUGUAAUUACUAACUGGUUACACCAACAUCCGUAACACGUUAAAAACCUAAAAAACCAGUUAACCCACGACACACCAGGAACAACCAUGACACGUCAAAAACCUAUAAAUUCAGUUAACCCACCACACCCUAAGAACAACCGUGACACGCUAACAACCCAAAUAACUAGUUAACCCACAACACGCCAGUAACAACCGUGACACGCUAAAAUAACAGUUCACUUAUGUUAUAGAUGCAUGGCGUGUAACAAUUCUGGGCAAUGUUUCUAAUCCAUCUUAUCAUUUACACUAAAUGUUUCAGAAAUUUAAGUGUGUUGCAGAAAUAAACCCAAUAACAGGUACCUUGAUGUCAUCUCUACUAUAGGGUGUGUUAAUCUACGACAAUGUCGUCAGAUACCGAGAGAUAGACCACAGCCCGAUGACAAUGGUGCUCAACAGAGAGUUGACAGAGCUCAUACAGUUCAGAGAUCUGAGAGAGCUGACAACGAUGGUGCUCAACAGAGACUUGCCAGAGUUGAGACAGAGAAAGAUGAUCGAGCCCAAACAGCUGCGCGUAUUUAUUUUUAAUGUUUUUCAUUUUCUCUCUGGCAGGAGGCAGAUGGCUCAAACAGCUGAGCAUUUAUUUGAAAUGAUGUUUUUAAGGGCAUUUUGGUCUACUCAUGUUUAUUUUUGGGUAGAAACAGACAACUUUAUAUGGGCGGUUAUUUAUGAAAUCACCUUAUCACGAGGUCCUUCUCUCACAAUUUUCUCAUUAUCCUAACUCGUUUAAAAACUCGAUUAUGUAAAAAAAUUAUUAAAAUGCUCUUCAUGGGUACCAGCACUCGAGUAUUUGACUCAUUGGUUGGUGCAUUAUCCCUCUAUUUAGAGAGUUGAGUUUGAAUUCCCCUUCCCUCAAUUAUAAAAAAAAAAUGCUAUUCAUGGGUAUCCCAUCACUCGAAUCCAAAUCCGUACUUAUAUCUAUAUACAAUAAUAUUUCUCCCACAUGUUUCAUAUAAUUUACUAAUUAUUAAAUUAAUAAAAACACACAAAUAAUAAAAUUUAAAUUUAAAUAAUUAAAAACAAAUAUCUCAAAUAUAAUUAAUAAUUUUAUAAGUUAUAAGUUUUGUAAUGUUAAUAAAAAAUAGAAACUAAAUAUGUUUAUAUUUAAAGUGUAUACAUACUAAAAGUAUUUUAGUAUAUAUAUAAUGGUAAGUAUAUUUCUUAUAAAUAAACCUAAUGUAUAAAAAGUAUAUAUAUUAAAAGACAUUACAAGUUAAUAAAUAAUCUAAGUUUCAUUAAUUAAUUUAAUUAAUUAUAUGAAUUUGUCCUUAAUUACAUAAAAUUAAAAAAAUAACUAAGUUUCAAAUCUCACAACUUUUCUUUAGAUUUAUAUAUUAUAAGUGUAUAUAAACAAAUGUAUAUAUAUUGUAAUUAAUAAUUUUAUAAUUUAUAUAUUUUUGUAAUGUUAACACAAAAUAGAGAGUAAAUAUGUUUAUAUUUAAAGUACAUACAUAUAUACUAAAAGUAUUUUAAUAUAUAUAACAGUAAUUAUAUUCCUUAUAAAUGAACUUAAUAUAUAUAAAGUAUAUAUAUUAAAAGACAUUAUAUGUUAAUUAAUAAUUAUAGUUUCAUGAAUUAAUUUAAUUAAUUAUAUAAGUUUGUCCUGAAUUACAGGAAAUUAAAAAAAAUAGCUAGGUUUUAAAACUAUUCAAAUUUCACAAUUUCUCUUUAGAUUUAUAUAUUAUAAGUAUAUAGAAAUAAAGGUAUGUAUAUUAUAAUUAAUAAUUUUAUAAAUUAUAAUUUUUUUAAUAUUAACACAAAAUAGAAAAUAAAUAUGUUUGUAUUUAAAAUAUAUAUUAAAAUAUUUUAAUAUAUAUAAUAGUAAUUAUAUUUCUUAUAAAUUAACAUAAUAUAUAAACUAUAUAUAUUAAAAGAUAUUACAAGUUAAUUAAUAAUCAUAUUUUUAAAAUGGCUAAAGGAACAUUGUUCGUACAUUGCAGUCUGGCUAUCAAAAGUCUCAUUGUCGAUCAAUUUCUGAAAUUUCUUUUGGUUCAUGAUUGUGCUUUUUUUAAUGGUCAGGAAAAUUCUAAAUACCCUGUACCAUCUGAUAAUGCAUGUGAAUAUACAGCUUGAACUUGAAACCCUUGGAAUAUAUCAGAUAAAAACAAUAUAAAAACUAGCAUUAAAAGUCUGACAGUGGGAGUUUCCUUUUCAUUGAUGCCCCAUUUUUCCCCCCAAUUCUGUUAAGGGUGAUACUUUUGGUUGAUACCUGCUCUUAUCCACCUUAAGAUUCUCACAAAAACUUUUCUUUUUUCUUUUGACGUGCCACUAAAAGUGCAUAGGUGACGAUUGUGUUCAUAAUUGGGCAGCAUUUCGGGCUGGAACAAAGAAUGAAAACAUUGAGUGGUGCAUAGAGCCCCUGGCCUGGGAUUUAGUGAUACUUACAAAGUAGGUGAGUUGACAACACUAAUUUGUACACAAAGAAAUGCUGUUUUUUUGCUGGUGGUUCAUUUGGGUACAGAGAUGGGUCAUAACAGAUUGCUCUAUUUGACAGUUGUCUUUAUUCUUUUGGAUGGGGACAUGGAACAUGUGCAUGCAGUCACAAGCAACUACUGAUCUGCUGGAGAGAAUAAGUGAUCCUGCAAAUUUUUAGCUUAGGAGAUAGAUGUAUACAAAGAGUGCUAAUAAUCCGUACAGAUUGUCCUAUUAGCCUGGCAAAUUUCUCUCUGUAAAUUAAUAUAAAGUUUUCAUAGGAUAAGAUGAUGAAAAUAAAGAUAAUAUGAUGAAAAUAAAAUAAUCUGAUACAAGUAUGUAAUCCAAAGAAGCCCCAGAAAAUGUCAACCUUUGGAUGCUAUCCAUAAAUGGAACAAAAAACUUAACAAACAAUUCAACCUUGCCAUGAAUCUGUGAUCUGCAAACCCAUGUUAGCUUGAAGAUUCAUGGGAAAUAGACAGGUUUCUUCUCCUCAAUUCGUUCAAUUUUGCAAUAUGCAUUGUGAAGUUCUUCUUAUGUUUGCUUGUCUACAACAUGUCCAGAUUUGAAGCUGAGUUCAGUGCAAUCGCAGACCCAGAGAUGAAUCUUUUUCCAUUUAUGGAGAUUAGGGAAUUCCAUCGGUGUAGAAAAGAUGCUAUGGUGUCAAUUGAGCUUGAUGAAUUAUGGCUAGACCGACAUAAAUCAAACUUUGGAGAAUGAUUACAAAUAGAUGAUCAUAUACCCUUUAAUUUUUUUUUAAAAAAUAUAAAGACAAAUUAAAUAACACAAACUUAAUUAUUCCUUCCAUUUUAUGAAAAAAAAAGAAUAUUGUUACCAUAGAAAAAGCUAUGCUACCUAUUCUUCUAUGACAAAAAUUACUAUGACAAUUCGUAACCGAACUUCAAUAAUUGAUGCAUCUAUUUUUUAUUUUAAAAAAAUAAAUUCAAAUUUUUUUAGAUAAUAAAAAAAAUUAUAGAGAAAUUUGAAUUUUCAUUUGUUGAACAUUUGAAUGAAAUUUCAGAUUAAAUAAAGUACAAUAACUAUUACUGUCGAAAUAAAUCAAAACUUGAUAGAUUCACGAGAUGUGAAAUAAAUAGAUACUUUUAUUUAUAUGGGCAUUUUAAAAAGUAGUCCUUAAAGAUAAGAUAUUUUUAAAAAUGACACUCUUUAUAGUUUUAACUAUUUUUAGCUAAGUUUGACAAAAUUACCCUUAAUGAAGUUACACGCUAUGAUGUUACACGUACAAAAAUCUAUAACAAGCCAUGGUUAGCAUGUUACACGCUAUGUACAAAAAUCUAUGACACGUCAUGUACAAAAACCUGUGAUAAGCCAUGGUUAGCGUGUGACACGCCAUGUACAAAAACAUGUGACACACUUGUACAAAAACCUGUGACAAGUCAUGAUUAGCGUGUGAAAUGCCAUGUACAAAAGCCUGUGACAAGCCAUGGUUAGUGUGUUACACGCCAUGUACCAAAGCCUAUGACAAGUCAUGGUUAGCGUGUGACACGCCAUAUACAAAAGCUUGUGAUAAACCAUGUACAAAAACCUGUGAAACUUCAAAUCCUUUCAAUAUUUUUUUUUAUUUUUUUUUUACAAUUUGGCAUAAAUUAAAGUGUUUCUAACAUGUUUUCAUAAAUCAAAAUACAAAUGUUUUUUUAUCUAAAGCACCCACUUUGACUAAAAAAAAAAAAAAUCUUUGAAAACCUAGAUUUAUAAAUUUCAAAAUUUUGAGUUUAUUGAUAUCUAGGUCAUUAAUUGAUUCAAUUAAAAACUAUUUUAUACAUUUGUGAUUAUUUCUACCGUUUUAGUUUUAUUCAAAAUACCUAAAAAUCGAAUUUUUCAAACAGCCACCCAUCCAAGCAUAUCAAAACCAUUGCUUGGUGUCUUGAAAGCAUAAAAAAAAGAAAUCUGAAAACGUGAGAGAGAGAAAUCGUAAGCAUAGCAAACGAAUACCGAACAGAAAAAUCGAUAAAAUUUGAGAGACUGAGAUGGUGAGAGAGAAAUCUGAAGCACAAAUGGGGAGAAAUUGUGAUAAAUGGUUUAAUUUAUUUGAAAUAGUUUAAAGGGUAUUUUCGUCAAAUCAUGACUAAAUAUGGCUAAAAAUAGUUACAUUUAUUUUGAUAGUUACUUUAAAAUAUUUUUAUCAAAAAAUGUCAUUUUCCAUAAUUUUCUCUUAUUUAUAUAUAGAACAUACAAAAUUACACACUUUAUUUACUUAUCAUACAAACUUAAUUUUACAUCACUUAGGAAGACAAACUCACAAAUACUAGUAUUGAUUUGGUACAAAACUAUUUUUUAUUUUUUAUUUUUCCAAGAUUUUUUUUUCUAUUUUUAAUCUUAUCAUGAGAAACCGGCAAAUCUUGGAUACAUACCCUACGUCCACAUCCCGUAAAUAUAUAUACAUAGCUUGAGUUCUAGAUUAUUCAGGCUCCCACCUUCUAGGAGUUGAGAGUGAAAGCCAUCCACCUAAGGCUUUGCUUGCUGGGUCUGGUCUUUCGGGGGCUCUGCUGUCUUGUUCCUAGGUCCGACAAAUGCCUGGAUCAAGCAUGGAGGCUCAGGUUUCCUGUUUACCAACUUAACCAACAGCUGGAUCAAGCACCGCAAAAUUAAAGGCGCAGCAGCUGUGAUCAAGGCGAGUUGAAAUUUGUCUCCAUCCCGGGUAACAGCAAAGAUUGCAGAUCCAUAAGUUAUAAUCAUUGAAACGCAGGCAACCCUUACUUCAAACUUGAAAGGAAAAGUAUGCGUGAGAGACAUAAUGAGAAGUACCGCUGCAGAAAAGGCUAGGGUGUUGGAAGUCAAGAAAACGUAGUAGGCAUCUGAGUCAGAUGAACAGAUAGCAAUGCCUGCUUUAUGGCCAUUCUUGGUUUCCUGCCAUACACCACCAGGGGGGUUAACCCCAGCUUGGAAGGUCACGGCAGCUAUAAGGGUCGCAACUACCAAGAGAGCGUUGCGGGCGUCGGCUCUAUUCUUAUCCCUGUCCUCCUCGUUUGCACCUUCCUUGUACUGAAAAUAACGACACCAGUCCUUGAAAGUAGUCCCAACCAUUGUUUUCUCUUGGGUUUUGAACUACAAACAGGAUUCAAGAAUUGAAGAAGCUUUUUGUUUAUGGGGAUAUGAAGAAAAACAAAGUAGUAGAUGGAUUUCUCCAGAAAAGCUUGGGGUUUGGCUGAGUCUUAAUUCAGCUUUUUAUAGUUCGCAACAGCAUCAAUCCCGUGACAAAUAUGAAGACAAUUCACUGUUCUUUUUCUAUAUUUGCAUGAUUAUGUUUGGACAAAAUGAGAAGUAGAUUCCUAUCUCAUCUUUGGACGUCAAUAAUUUAGAUUUUUUCAACCUUGUCAAUGUUGUUAAUUAGGACAAAAACCUGAUAGGCACUUCCACUUUCACUGCCAAGAUAUGUCUGUAUGAUUUGUAUUUCUCAAUUUUACACAGCAUUAUCUUCCCUCUUGGUCAGUGCAGGAAAGAAGAUUACAUAAUCAUGCAUUUCGAGUUUAUAUAAGUAUAUAUUUGAUAUUUUAAUAAGUCUUACUAUCCAAAAUUUCAGUAACACAAUAUUAUUGAAUACCCAUAAUUAAAGGGUUAUUUACAAAAUAUGUAUAAAAAUUAAAUAAUUAUAUGAUAUUUCGGUAAGUAAGUAUCUAAUCAUUAUUUUACGUAAUAAAGUAUCUAAUAUUUCAAUAAUUUUAUUUACUCAUGUUUUUCAUAUAAGUUAUUGAUAAAGCAUGUUUAUGGUGACUAAAUAAUAUAUGAAAAAUAAGAAAAAUAAUCAUUCAUUUCAAAGUUAGUAAAAAAAUUGAAAAAAGUUACGAAAAAUAAUCAUAUUUUUAAAAUUAAUGUUUUUGCUUUCCAAAAUUAUUUUAAAAGUUACAGAAAUCACAUAUUCUUAAAUUUUUACAUAAUGUUAUUCACAAAGAACAUAUUAUAAGCAGGUGGACUGAAAAUAAUGACAGGAGGGUAGCAGUCACUUUUAAUUUUUAAAUUUUAUUUCGAAAUCGAAUUAUUAACUUGAUAUAAAACUUUAUAAAAUUAUUUUUAAUUUUUUUUAAAUAAAAUUCUAAAUCGGUCAUCAAUUAUAAAUUUAAUAAAUCUCAUGUAAUUGAUUUCAAUUUUUGCUAGCGUGCAUGUGCAUAGUGGAAAUCUGGAUGACCUUGACUUAAAACGCCGGUCUUCAUAUCUAAAGCAUAGUUAUCCAUAAUCCAUAAGACGAGACAAAAGCCUUUUUGGAGUCACUGUUUUAUCAUGAGGACCAGCUGUGCUUAGUCCGACUUCGAAUUGCCGGGCCAUUUUUAGUUUGUUUCCAUUGAUGACGUGUUUGAGUUCAUGUCAGCCCAUGACCUCUCUUUCGAGGGCUUCAUCUGAAGUCAGCAUUGCAUUGCAUGAUGAGUUUUCUCAUGGAAGCCGCCGGGGACUGUUCUCAUUGACUGAGGUGUCUUUUCUUUAUCGUCCAGGUUGUCAUUUGAUUUAGUUUAAUGGUUGUUUUAAUAAUAUAGUUCAUUUUGCUGUCAAAAGAUGUCCUCAAUUAUGUUUCGCUUUUUGGAAAAAAGAAAUGAAAUCUACUGUGAUUUACUACCAUAGGCAUAUUUUAAUCUACUAUUAUUAGUCUUUAUUUGAGUUUAAAAUGUGUUUUUAUCAUUAUUUGUUCAAUUCUCGUUAGAAUAUAAGAUUGAAAAAUCAAAAAUAUAAGAAAAAAGUAUCAAUUAUAUAAUUAAUCAGAUAUAAAAUUUCUUUUAAUAAUAAUGAUAAUUUUAUUUAUAAUUGAAAAUAACAUGAUCAUAUAGUUAAUUUUACUGUCCUUAACAAAUCAGCUAUAGGCCCUUAUCAAUAUUACAAUUACAUUUUAACAUCAACAUCCAUUGCAAUCAAAAACUCAAGAGUGCUUUUCAUAAAUGGACUUGAGGCAUAAGACGUCUUUAAGAGUAGUCCUCUCUAUAAUUUUAUCUGUUUUUAGUCAAGAGAAAAAAAAUUAGAUAAAAUUAUCUUUAAUGAAAUCAACCCAUUCGCUAGGCUCCGUGCUUCAAUCCGAAACUUAUUAACGGGUCAAGUAUGUUUAGGUUUGCACCUUAAAUUGACUUAUAUUUUUUGAACUUUCCUUACUAGAUUAUUCAUCUCUGGUGUAUUUCUUACCAGAAAGAAAAACGUUUAAGCAUUUUGAAUAUUUUGGAGUAGUUUUUGAUACACAAAGAAAAUUUGUGAGCGUUUUGAACAUUUUUAUACAUUUUAGAGUGAUUUUUGAUAUAUGAAGAAAAACUUUCGAAUAUUUUGAGCAUUCAUAUUUGUUAAUUAUGUUGUUAAAUGAAAUAUGAUAUAUCGUUUGAAGUUGUUGAUCUUGUUAAAUGGAAUUCAGUAGUUUUGGUAUUUUUGAAAAUUAUGUGACUAGUUUUUAAGCAUUGCGUGACUGACUUUGGGCAUUACGUGACUGAUUUUUGAUAAGGCAUUGCGUAACUAGUUUCUGAUAAGACAUUGCGUGACUAGUUAAUAGACAUUGCGUUACUGAUUUUGGGCAUUGCGUGACUAGUUAAUAGGCAUUGCGUGAUUGAUUUUGGGCAUUGCGUGACUAGUUUUUUAUAAGGCAUUGCGUGACUAGUUUCUGAUAAGAUAUUGCAUGACUAGUUGAUGGGCAUUGCGUGAUUUUUUAGUAAGGCAUUGCUUAAAAAUCAGUCAUGCAAUGUAUAAAAACUAGUCAGGUAAUGCCUAAAACCAAUAAUGUAAUGACUAAAAACUAGUGACACGGUAAUUAAGUCACGUAAUACCUAAAAACCAGUAAACUCAAUUUUGAGAUUCUAUGAAUAAACCAACAAACUUAAGAACCUAAAACACUUUUUUUUUUUUUGCUAAGCCAUGAAAUUGUGAAUUUCAUAAAAGAUAGGUUACAAAAUUCCAUAACCCUCCAAAGCAAGAGAAAAUAUAUCCCUAUCGGGAGGUUUUGCUCACUCCCCUUAUACAAAAACAAAAUAUACCCUAUUUACAAAAUAUUUCCUAAACAAUUUCAACUCAAAAUCCCUAACAAACAUGCUUAACAAUCAUCCAAAUCCCAGACACAACAAAAUCGUGAAACACCAUAAAACUCAUCAAACAUGUUUUAGCUGUUCUUUCUCCCUGAGCAAAAUCGUUGUCUGCAAAAAGCAAAAUCGCUGUUCAUCGCCCUUAAAAACCCCGAGAUCCACCAUCCAAAAAAAUAAAACAAAAUAAAAAAGAGCUUGAUGUCAUAUUUGCGAAUUAGAUGACGAAAUAAAUAUAUUUGAGCAGAGAGAGAAAUCGAUAUUUAAUUUUAAAAUUUUUAUAUAGAUGGCAGGAGAGAGAAAACUGAAACCAUUUUAAUUUGUCUGAAAUUAUUUAAAGGGUAUUAUUGUCGAGUCAUAUCAAAAACUGACUUAAAAUUAUAGAGAUGGUUAUUUUUGAAGUCACAUUUCUAUGAAGGUCAUUUCUCACAAUUUUUUCAAAACUCAAAUAGUCCCCAAUAACCGGAUGCAAAAAAUUCAUAUAAAGAAGAACAACACUUACUUGAUUAAGAACCAAAUAAACUUCAAAGUUUUAAAAAUAAAGAACAAGUUAUUAUAUAUGUUGGCAAGAUAACAAUUACCAGAGGAGUAUAAUUCCGAGGUACUGAAUCAAUUCAUUGUACAAAGAGGAGCCACAUUCUAAAUUCCAUGUCGAUUUACGUUCGUCUCUAAUGCUUUCUCCUUGUAUCUGGACCAACUCUCCAUUUCUUGAGCAACCAUAUGGUAAACCGUGCAAACUCCACAAGAAAUAGAAUUCCCAUCACAGUGACCGUUAUAUAUAUAUCUCUCAUUUUCGUUGGACCUAUAUAGAUUAUAGCUACGACAUAAGUACCAAUCAUUGAAAACAUGGCCAGCCGCAAGCCUGCCCUGAAAGGGAAUCCACUGGUGAGGAGAAAGAUCAUGGCAACUGAUGCAAUGAAACCAAUUGAAUUAAAACCGAUGAACACAGAAAAGAUUGGAGGGUUUUUACUCAUGACAGCCUCUCCAGGCGACAUGGUUCUAGAUCUCUUCUGAACGGUGCUGACGGUCGGAUUGUUUUUAUUAUCUGAGUCUGACCAAAAACCACUUGGAGAGUUCAGAAUUGCUUGGUAUGUGAUCCUUGCUAUCAGGACUGCCACAAUCAUUAAUGAGUUUUUAGUUUCACUUGAUGAUUCCGUAACCUCUUUCAUCAGUUCCUUCCAUAGGUUCCAUGAAGAAGAAGAUAGCAAUUUUUGCUUAUUGUUAAAGUUUUCUGCUUCGGUUUGAACAUGUGCAGGGCCUGUUGUGCUUUCUCGGGCUUUCAAAGCUCCAGCUUGCUGAAAUAUCUGAUGAAUCUGAAUAUCAUAACAAUCACCUCCACUUUGGAGCAGAAGAUCUAGGACAUCCUUUGGCGUAAAGCCGCUUGAGUUUAUGGCAUUUACGUUAACGCCAGAAACAACUGCUUCUUGACCAAUUAACAGACCUAUAAUCUACAAACGAGUAAAUAUUCGUAAUUUACAACCUCUGGAACGAAUACCAACAACGCAAUCAGUGCAAUCUGAAUUUUUAGAAUAGCUAAGGAAUUAAACAGAGUUUAAUUAGAAUAACAUGCUUUAGACUCCACCAUGACCCAAACCAGGAUUUAGUAGCACAUCUGCUUGGACUUAUACUUCGAAUAUAAUAGAUUGAAAAAGAAGAAAAAAUAUAAUAGAUUGAAAAAGAAGAAAAACAAAUAAAUAAGAAAAGAUUAAGUAAUUAACUAGCAGGAAGAACUGCAAAACUUGCCUCAGGUUGUCUGUUGAAGGUCGCCUGAUGUAAUAUGGUGUUCCCAUCCUUUUCUUUCCAAAUCAAAAUUUCCAUCAUAUCUAACCUCCUUAUCUCCUCGAUCAGUACCCUUGCAGCCUCAAUCUGGUUACUCUUCACAGCCAAAUGGAGGGCAGUUUCACCAAAAGCAGUCAGUUCUUUAACAGACUCGGGGCAAGCCCAGACCUGUUCCUUAACAACAUCAACUCUGCCUUUCAAAGCCGCGCAAUGAAGUGGAACCUUACCAUCUUUUCCCUUCAAAAGACAUAUGUCAUAUCCAACUCUCAUAAGCUCUCUUAUAAUUUCAACGUGCCCUUUAGCCGAAGCGACAUGCAUCGGGCUAAAACCAUUUUCACUUAGCUCCCUAGCGAAUGCUGGCUUUCUGCUCACAAUUUCUUUUGUGAUUUCUGUUUGUCCCGCCAUUGCUGAUAUGUGUAGAGGAUUAUCGACAGAGUUUAACGCAACUCGAUCAAGCAGAAAUGGAUCUUCCCCGAGUAAUGAGUGAAAUGCAGAAAUAUCUCCAGAACGAGAUGCUUCGAACAAUCUUGGUUCCAUUUCUACUUGAUCUUGUUGCCCUUACCAGUGUGACAAAAUGUAGUGUGAGCUUUGAGUUUUCUUGGGACAUUUUAUAGUAUAUUUAAGGUGAUAGAAUUCGUCACCGGGAAUGGAAUUUGAUCCUAUGGGCAAGCUGGCAAGCAAUGCAAGCAAAAGACAAAAGGACUAUAUGCUUUUUACUAUUAAUUUACCUUUGAAACCUGGAAAGCGGCAUAGAAGGUAACUUAGAAGAUCUGAAAGAUUGAAUGGUCUAAAUUCAUUAAAAUGAAGAAGAAUUAAGGUUAAAAUUUUUUAAAAUUAAUAUGUUGAAUUUAAUCAACAAUUUUUUCAGAAUUGAGCUUGGAUAUUUUGAUUUACAUUGCUUUUAUUCAUGAGUUGAAGUAUUGAGAUUUAGUGACUCAAGUGUAAGAGAAUCAUUUGAAUGAUUUUCAUCUUUUACUGUUAAAAAAUUUAUCAAUUGUUUUCAACUUGCUCAUACUUUAAUUAAAUUUGGAAAAAAAAUUUAAUGCAGUCAAUAUCCAAUAUUUUUAUUUUAUUUUUAUUUAAAUUUAAAAUACUAAAUAUAAAAUUAGUAAUGCAUAAAAUAUAAAUAAUUAAAUUCGAUAUACAAAAUUUCAUAUAAUGAUUAAAUAUAUAAAUAGUUAAAUAAUAUAAAUAAAAAAAUUAUUUCUUAAUUUUACACAAUAGUAGUGAGUAGUCGCGUUCUAUUUUGUCCAAUUGUUGCAUCCACCAUUAUUUCUAUUAAAGGAAGAGGAAAAUCUUGUUCAAGUCCAAAAAGAGAGAGGAUAUUACACUUCUAUAUUUCCGUUAAAGAGGAUUUCCUAUUUGGGUUGGGUUUCCACUUAAAUGUGACCCCGAAUACCUUUCACACCUACUACUUCUACUUGCAAAGAGAGAUGAUGUUGCAACCUCCACCAAGUAUUGCAGAUUCCUCUUUAAGCCUUGGGAGGUCACUUAAAGCCCAUUUAUGCUUCAAUGAAGAAGAAUCCUCUCAUCAAAAGCAGCAACAACUAGCUGUUUAAGGCCUUCAAUGUUCGCUCUGAUUUCCUGAAUGAGUUAGAUACAGAGACAGUGACUUUGUUCAAACAUUUUGGGCUGGCAGGUUGAAUGCAUGACUUGUGCACUAAAACCCCACAUGUUCCCCCCUCUCUCUCUCUCUUCUUUUGGUUUCUUGUGGUUUCCUUUUUUGGGGUUUUGAAUCUGAAAUUGUUUAUGUAUGUACAGAUGGGAGUUUCUUCUUUACAGUCUGGCUAUCAAAAGUCUCAUUGUCAAUUAAUUUCUGAAAUUUCUUUUGAUUCAUGAUUGUGCUUUUUAUAAUGGUCAGGUAAAUACCCUGUAACAUCUGAUAAUACAUGUGAAUAUACCGCUUAAACUUGAAACGCUUGGAAUAUAUCAGAUAAAAACAAUGUAAAAACUUGGAGCUAAAGUCUGAAAAUGGGAGUUUCCCUUUCAUUGAUGCUCCUUUUUCCUCCCAAUUCUGUUAAGGGUGGUACUUUUGGUUGAUACCUGCUCUUAUCCACCUUAAGAUUCUCACAAAAACUUUUCUUUUUUCUUUUGGGGUGCCACUAAAAGUGCAGAGGUGACAAUUGUGUUCAUAAUUGGACAGCAUUUGGGGUUGGAACAAAGAAUGAAAACAUUGAGUGGUGUGUAGAGACCCUGGCCUGGGAUGUACUGAUACUUACAAAGUAGCUGAGUUGACAACAAAUUUUGUACACCAAGAAAUGCUGUUUUUUGGCUUGUGGUUCUUUUGGUAUAGAGAUGGGUUAGAACAAAUUGCUCUAUUUGACAGUUGUCUUUAUUCUUUUGGAUGGGGACAUGGAACAUGUGCAUGCAGUCACUGGCAACUACUGAUCUGCUGGAGAGAAGUGAUCCUACAAAGUUUUAGCUUAAGAGAUAGAUGUAUACCAAAAAUGCUAAUAAUCCGUACAGAUCGACCUAUUAACCUGACAAAUUUCUGUCUGUAAAUUAAUAUAAAGUUUUCAUAGGAUAAGAUGAUGAAAAUAAAAUAAUCUGAUAGAAGCAUGUAAUCCAAAGAGGCCCAAGAAAAUGUCAACCCUGCAUGCUGUUGAUCUAAGAAAGACAAACAUUUAAAAUCGAAAAAAGAAAAAGUUGUGUGGGUCUUGCGGGAUAUAAACAAAAAGCUGCUUUCAAGCUUGGGCCUCAGCCUGGUAAGAGUGUAAUCAAACCCAACUAGUCUUCGAGCAAGACUAGCCCUUUGGUCCAAACCUAGCAAAACAAUACAACAUUGCCAUGAAUCUGUAAUCUGCAAACCUAUGUUAGCUUGAAGAUUCAUAGGAAAUAGACAGGUUUUCUUCCCCCUUAAUUCGUUAAAUAAUGCAAUACGCAUUCUCAAGUUGUUCUUGUGGCUAGCUUGUCUACAACAUGUCCAGAUAUCAAGCUGAGUUGAAUGCAAUUGCAGACCCAGAAAUGAAUGCUUUUCCAAUUAUGGAGAUUGGGGAAUACAUCAGUGUAAGAAGAUGCUAUGUUCAAUGGAGCCUGAUGAAUUAUGGCUAGACCGACAUAAAUCAAACCUGGAGAAUGAUUACAACAUGAUAAUCGAUCAUAUAUCCAAAUGAAAUUGCACAAACUUAAUUAUUGAAACGCUAGCAACCCUUACUUCAAAUUUGAAAGGAAAUUUAUGUGUGAGUGACAUAAUGACAAGUACUGCUGCUGAAAAGGCUAAGGUGUUUGAUGUCAAGAAAACGUAGUAGGCUGCUGUCUCAGAUGCAUAGAUAGAUGAUAGCAGUGCCUGCUGUAUUGUCCUCCUUGGUUUCCUGCCAUACACCACCAAGGGAGGUUAACCCCAGCUUGGAAGGUCACGGUAGCUAUUAGGGUGGCAACUACCAAGAGAACGUUGCGUGCGUCGGCUCUAUUUUUCUCCUUAUCCUCCUUUUUUGCACCUUCCUUAUACUGAAAAUAACGACACCAGUCCCUGAAAGUAGUCCCAACCAUUGUUUUCUCUUUGGUUAUGUCUUACAAACAGAAUUCAAGAAUUGAUGAAGCUCUAUGAGGAUUGAAGAAAAAAAGGUAGUAGAUGGAUUUCUCCAGAAAAGCUUUGGGUUUGGGUGAGUCUUGAUUCAGCUUUUAUAGCAAGCAAUUUACCAUAAUAGUUGGCAACAAUUUCAAUCUCGUGACAAACGUGAAGUCAGAAGCGGAGGGAGGUAGGGCCCCCGCGCCCCCCCACCCCCCUUCUAAAUUUAAAAAAUUUAUAAAUAUUUUAAAAAUUUUAAACGAAUAUAUUAAUUUUUAAAAUGAACAAUUUACUUAAAAAUAUAAAUACUAUUAACAGAAAUUAAAAAAAGAUUUAAUAUAUUAUUUUUUAUUAAUUUAAAAAAUUAUUAUUAUAUUCUAAAAAAUUAAAUAAAAAAAAGAUAGAAGGAAUGGUUGGGCGUACGCCCAGCCAUCCCUUCCCCAACCACCCUGAAUGAUGAGGUUCUGGCUACCAACUCCUUGGUGCCAGAACCCCAUUGCCAGGUUGUCCAAAUUUUUGGACAACCCAACUGUUAAAAAUCAAACCUGCAAAACCAAAAAAAGAGGACAACCAAGAAAACAAGAUAAAAAAUCCAAAAAAUCCUAACCUACCAGCAGACUACCCUAGCCAUAAUAACAAAAAAAAAACAAACACAAAACAAAAACAAAAAAGGAGAAGUUAGAUCUGGAAAAAUGAGUGAGAGGGGGGUUUAAGGGUAAAGAAAAAAGUUUUUUUUCGAGUAGGGGAGAAUCGGAAGGGAGACCUACAACAAGGGAGGCCUACCGACAGAAAGUUGAAGAAGGAAGAAGGAGAGAAAAGAAGAUAGGAGAUCUACCGGGCGAGAGAGAAAUACAGAAGAGAAAGCCGAAGGAGAGGGAAAGAGAGGGAUCGGCUGGCCAAAGGGGAAGUUGAAGAGAGAAAGAAAUGAAAAAGAAGAAAAAGAAGAAAAGAAAAAGUUAGGGAGAGGAUAGAGAGAGUGACGGCUAGAGAGAGAAAAAGAGAGCCAAAAAUGAAAGAGGAAGAAGAAAAUAAGGUUUAAAUACCUAGGGCUUGAGGGCCAAAACGACGUCGUUUUGUGUUGUCUUUGGGUGUUUGAAUUAGCACUAAACGGUGCGUGCAGGAGAAGAAGCUGGUGGUUUAUGGGAAUUUGCUGGUUACGGAUUAAAGCUUACCAGGCCCACUAUCUUUUCUCAGCACCAGGCCCAUCUAUUAGGCCACCUAAAGGCUUUGCUACACCUUGGAAAAAAAAAAAAGAGCCCACACAAGGUAAGACAUUUCUUCUCUUUUUGGGUUNCACAUGUUUCAUAUAAUUUACUAAUUAUUAAAUUAAUAAAAACACACAAAUAAUAAAAUUUAAAUUUAAAUAAUUAAAAACAAAUAUCUCAAAUAUAAUUAAUAAUUUUAUAAGUUAUAAGUUUUGUAAUGUUAAUAAAAAAUAGAAACUAAAUAUGUUUAUAUUUAAAGUGUAUACAUACUAAAAGUAUUUUAGUAUAUAUAUAAUGGUAAGUAUAUUUCUUAUAAAUAAACCUAAUGUAUAAAAAGUAUAUAUAUUAAAAGACAUUACAAGUUAAUAAAUAAUCUAAGUUUCAUUAAUUAAUUUAAUUAAUUAUAUGAAUUUGUCCUUAAUUACAUAAAAUUAAAAAAAUAACUAAGUUUCAAAUCUCACAACUUUUCUUUAGAUUUAUAUAUUAUAAGUGUAUAUAAACAAAUGUAUAUAUAUUGUAAUUAAUAAUUUUAUAAUUUAUAUAUUUUUGUAAUGUUAACACAAAAUAGAGAGUAAAUAUGUUUAUAUUUAAAGUACAUACAUAUAUACUAAAAGUAUUUUAAUAUAUAUAAUAGUAAUUAUAUUCCUUAUAAAUGAACUUAAUAUAUAUAAAGUAUAUAUAUUAAAAGACAUUAUAUGUUAAUUAAUAACUAUAGUUUCAUGAAUUAAUUUAAUUAAUUAUAUAAGUUUGUCCUGAAUUACAGGAAAUUAAAAAAAAUAACUAGGUUUUAAAACUAUUCAAAUUUCACAAUUCCUCUUUAGGUUUAUAUAUUAUAAGUAUAUAUAAAUAAAGGUAUAUAUAUUAUAAUUAAUAAUUUUAUAAAUUAUAAUUUUUUUUAAUAUUAACACAAAAUAGAAAAUAAAUAUGUUUGUAUUUAAAAUAUAUAUUAAAAUAUUUUAAUAUAUAUAGUAGUAAUUAUAUUUCUUAUAAAUUAACACAAUAUAUAAACUAUAUAUAUUAAAAAAUAUUACAAAUUAAUUAAUAAUCAUAUUUUUAAAAUGGCUAAGGGAACAUUGUUGGUACAUUACAGUCUGGCUAUCAAAAGUCUCAAUGUCGAUCAAUUUCUGAAAUUUCUUUUGGUUCAUGAUUGUGCUUUUUUUAAUGGUCAGGAAAAUUCUAAAUACCCUGUACCAUCUGAUAAUGCAUGUGAAUAUACAGCUUGAACUUGAAACCCUUGGAAUAUAUCAAAUAAAAAUAAUAUAAAAACUAGCAUUAAAAGUCUUAAAGUGGGAGCUUCCUUUUCAUUGAUGCUCCUUUUUUCAUCCCAAUUCUGUUAAGUGUGGUACUUUUGGUUGAUACCUGCUCUUAUCCACCUUACGAUUCUCACAAAAACUUUUCUUUUUUCUUUUGGGGUGCCACUAAAAGUGCAAAGGUGACGAUUGUGUUCAUAAUUGGGCAGCAUUUCGGGCUGGGACAAAGAAUGAAAACAUUGAGUGGUGCAUAAAGCCGUUGGCUUGGGAUUUAGUGAUACUUAUUGUCAUAACGUGAGGGUCCGAGAAUCCAAUCACUAGACGUGAACGAAAAUAAAAUAUCUAGGAGUCGUCGUUAAUCUUUUUUUUAUUUAGGUGUGAUUGGCCACCUAUUAACCCUAUUAUAAUUAAUGAAGUUCUAAUUUAAUUUUAGAUCUAUUGACAGAACGAGAACUGAUCCACGUUUUUUAGAUAUAGGUUUAGGAGUGCGGUUACGCAUGGAGAAGGGUUAGCACCUUCGUGACGCCCGUUCCACAAACGAUACCAUUUAAUCUUAAGUUAUCAUAUUGAAGCCUACCUUGAUUUUAUUCCUGUGUUUCCUUAAUCCUUUUUAUUAAUUAAUUCUUUGUUAUGUUAUCUGCUUGAAUCUUUUAGUCGGUUUUACGGAUGCACAUGACGCAGUCAUAAAAUGAUGUUAUGAUUUGUCGAAUUUUAAAUGAUGAGGUCGGCAAUCUUUUAUUGAAAAAUCAUUCGUAGAUCAUCCCAGCGCUUUGGUGAAGUUUCGAAGUUUUUCUCACCUAGGGAUAUCCCGAGAAAGACUCGUCUCUGUGAGCUCUUCGAGAAAAUCCCAUCAUCGAAAUUUUAACCCCAACAGCAAGAUAUAUGUGGUAUGCUAUGACAGUAUAAAAAUGAUGAUAUCGACAUGACCAUGUUUAUUAAUUAGUUGGUUGGUAAUAAUAACAUGUUUAAUAAUUUAAGGUGAUUUAUUACCUUAUUUAUAUAUAUUUUUAUUAUUAUUAUUAUUAUUUAUGUAUAUUAUUUUAAACAACAAUUAUUUGGACUAAUGGGUAUCGGAGUAUAGAAUUCGAAUUUAUCCCGACGCUUCAAUGAAAAUUCAUCUCGAACUCCGUACCUAAGAAAUCCACUGGAAAGAGGCAAUUCUUUGCCCUUUUUAGGUGAAGUUCUAUCAUCGGAUCAACUCAAAUUAACCGCUUGAUUUUUUUUAUAUUUGUAAUUUAAUAUUAUAUUGUACAUUCUAUAUAUUUAUAAAUAGCUAGAUCAAUUUUGUAAUACUUUAUUCUCAUUUUUUAUUUCUUUUCAUUUUUUUAGACCCAUUUCUAUUAUUUAUUAAUUAUUUUAUACAUAUUUAAAAAAAACUAAGUACUUUCUAAUCUUCCAUUUAAUUAAUUAAUUUUUUUUACCUUGUUCAUUCACCUAUUUUUUGUUAUAUGUUCAUAUAUAUAUUUAUACAUGCAUAUCUAUUAAUUUACUACAUUUACUAUCUAUUGUAUUAAAUAUUUUCAUUUUUAGCUUUCAUAUGUUUUAUUUUUCAUGUGCAUAAAUUUCAAACAACACCAAAAAUAAUAAAACUAUUAUAACACUUAAACAAGAAAUUAAAUAACCAUUUUCAGUAGUUCAAGCCCAAACCAUUAUUUAAUGAAUAAAUCCAAUACCUAUUGGGUUGUAACUAACCCACUGCUUCAAAUGGGUUCAAGCUCCACUAGGCUUCAAAGGUCCCCUCCAAUUCGGUUUGGGCCCAAAGGGUCUGCUGCACUUGUUUUUUUUCUGAUUUGGGCUUGAAUAGUUCAAGAAUGCCUUAGCCCAAGGAGGAUAUCAAGCUUGCCGCAACAAGCCACUUAAUCCUCUUCAAUGUGCGUCGUUUUUGGCUUUCAAAAAUGCUUCAAACGACGUCGUUUUGAUCUCUUAUACCUGGGUAUAAAAGCUUCUUUUCUUUUCUCUCUCUUCACUUUCCUCUCUCACUUUCUCUCUCUUGCCACAAUUCUCUCAAUCUUCUCCUUAAGCUUUUCUUUUUUUUCUUUUCUUCUUCUCUCUUUUUUUUUUCUUUCUUUCUUGGCUCGCAGAUCUCCCUCCUCUCUCUUUCUCCCAGCUUCUUCCCCUCUCUUUUGCCGCCGGCGUCCCUUCUCCUCCACCGACCAGAUCUGGGUCUCCAAGACCUUUUUUUUUUUUUCUGCUUUCUCCUUUUUUACUUUUUGUGUUUUUUUGUUGUGAUUUUGGUUUUUUUAGUGCUUGUGGUUAGGUAUUUAAGCUGGUAGAUCUUAGGAUUUUUUUGUUUCUAAAAAUCUGUGUUGUUUUUUUUUUGUGUUCUUGAUUGUUGGAUUUUUUUUGAAGAAGAUGGAGUUUUUUUUUUUAAUCCGAUUUUUCUUUUCCAAAAAUCCCCCCUCAGCCUCAGAUUUUUCAAGGUUCUUUUAGAACCCAAUUGUCUAAAUCUUUGGACAAUCAUGAUCUUGGCAACACUAAUUCUGGAUGGGUAACCUUCAGGUCAAAAAAAAUUCACCAAAAAUGAAAUCAAAUCUCAGCUGCCAGAAGAGCAUUGAAUGCUCUGUAUUUUGUUGACAAUGAAGGCUAAGCGUGCUUCCAGCGUUUUUUUUUUAAUUUUGAUUUUUUAAUUUUUUAUUUAUUAUUAUUGUUUUUAUUUUAUUAAAAAGAAGUGUCUACACUUACACAGUAGGUGAGUUGACAACACUAAUAUGUAUACAAAGAAAUGUUGUUUUUUUGCUCGUGGUUCAUUUGGGUACAGAGAUGGUUCAGAACAGAUUGCUCUAUUUGACAGUUGUCUUUAUUCUUUUGGAGGGGGACAUGGAACAUGUGCAUGCAGUCACCAGCAACUAUUGAUCUACUAGAGAGAAGAAGUGAUCCUGCAAAUUUUUAGCUUAGGAGAUAAAUGUAUACAAAGAGUGCUAAUAAUCCGUACAGAUUGACCUAUUAGCCUGGCAAAUUUCUCUUUGUAAAUUAAUAUAAAGUUUUCAUAGGAUAAGAUGAUGAAAAUAAGGAUAAUAUGAUGAAAAUAAAAUAAUCUGAUACAAGUAUGUAAUCCAAAGAAGCCCCAGAAAGUGUCAACCUUUGGAUGCUAUCCAUAAAUGGAACAAAAAACUUAGAAAACAAUUCAACCUUGCCAUGAAUCUGUGAUCUGCAAACCCAUGUUAGCUUGAAGAUUCAUGGGAAAUAGACACGUUUCUUCUCCUCAAUUCGUUCAAUUUUGCAAUAUGCAUUGUCAAGUUCUUCUUAUGUCUGCUUGUCUACAACAUGUCCAGAUUUGAAGCUGAGUUCAGUGCAAUUGCAGACCCAGAGAUGAAUCUUUUUCCAUUUAUGGAGAUUAGGGAAUUCCAUUGGUGUAGAAAAGAUGCUAUGUUGUCAAUUGAGCUUGAUAAAUUAUGGCUAGACCGACAUAAAUCAAACUUUGGAGAAUGAUUACAAAUAGAUGAUCAUAUACCCUUUAAUUUUUCUAAAAAAAAUAUAAGGGCAAAUUAAAUAACACAAACUUAAUUAUUUCUUCAAUUUUAUGAAAAAAAAAAAGAAAUAUUGUUAUCAUAGAAAAAGCUAUGCUACCUAUUCUUUUAUGACUAAAAUUACUAUAACAAUUCGUAACCGAACUUCGAUAAUUGAUGCAUCUAUUUAUUAUUUAAAAAAAUAAAUUUGAAUUAUUUUAAAUAAUAAAAAAAUUAUAGAGACAUUUGAAUUUUCAUUUGUUGAACAUUUGAAUGAAAUUUCAAAUUAAAUAAAGUACAAUAACCAUUACUAUCGAAAUAAAUCAAAACUUGAUAGAUUCACGAGAUGUGAAACAAACAGAUACUUUAUUUAUAUAUAGAGCAUACAAAAUUACACACUUUAUUUACUUAUCAUACAAACUUAAUUUUACAUCACUUAGGAAGACAAACUCACAAAUACUAAUAUUAAUUUGGUACAAAACUAUUUUUAAUUUUUUAUUUUUCAAGAUUUUUUUUUCUAUUUUUAAUCUUAUCAUGAGAAACCUGCAAAUCUUGGAUACAUACCCUACGUCCACAUCCCGUAAAUAUAUAUACAUAGCUUGAGUUCUAGAUUAUUCAGGCUCCCACCUUCUAGGAGUUGAGAGUGAAAGCCAUCCACCUAAGGUUUUGCUUGCUGGGUCUGGUCUUUCGGGGGCUCUGCUGUCUUGUUCCUAGGUCCGACAAAUGCCUGGAUCAAGCAUGGAGGCUCAGGUUCCCUGUUUUUCAACUUAACCAACAGCUGGAUCAAGCACCGCAAAAUUAAAGGCGCAGCAGCUGUGAUCAAGGCGAGUUGAAAUUUGUCUUCAUCUCCGGUAACAGCAAAGAUUGCAGAUCCAUAAGUUAUAAUCAUUGAAACGCCAGCAACCCUUACUUCAAACUUGAAAGGAAAAUUAUGCGUGAGAGACAUAAUGACAAGUACCGCUGCAGAAAAGGCUAGGGUGUUGGAAGUCAAGAAAACGUAGUAGGCAUCUGAGUCAGAUGCACAGAUAGCAGUGCCUGCCGUAUGGUAAUCGUUGGUUUCCUGCCAUACACCGCCAGGGGGGUUAACCCCAGCUUGGAAGGUCACGGCAGCUAUAAGGGUCGCAACUACCAAGAGAGCGUUGCGGGCGUCGGCUCUAUUCUUAUCCCUGUCCUCCUCGUUUGCACCUUCCUUGUACUGAA
RNAcentral lists this long non-coding RNA (33651 nucleotides) under Theobroma cacao (cacao). RNAcentral's name for it is "long non-coding RNA (TCAC_LNC000649)". Lineage: Eukaryota; Viridiplantae; Streptophyta; Magnoliopsida; Malvales; Malvaceae. The record is from RNAcentral.